GAAUUUUGUGAAACUUAAGAACUUCUGGAGGCAUUUCUAGCUGAAGGCCAAUCAAACAAAGAUGCCAGACUGAUCCUAACAGCAACUGUUUCAGCACAGAAAGAAGUUAUUGAAAGGAGCUACAAUAUACCAGAGAUCUCACAGUACUUGGACUUUAUUAGUGUCAAGACAUUUGAUUUUCAUACAUUUAAAGAUGGCAUUGCAAGACAUCACAGCCCUUUGUACAGUGGCAUCCAAGACGAGGAGGAUAUCAACUCAAACACUGUAAGCAGACUGACUCUUAUUAUGAGCACAGACUUCAAGACAGUGAAUAACUUGAAUUUGCUGCUGGGUAGUUUGUAUAUUUUCAUCUUGCAUACAGGAUUCUGCGCUAAAAUUCUGGAGAUUCCAGGGAGCUCCUCCUGAGAAGUUGUUGAUGGGCUUUGCCACGUAUGGACGUUCCUUCAUCCUCACCUCCUCUCAGAGUGGAGUUGGAGCCCCAGCCAAUAACUUGGCUUCUCCUGGACCUUAUACACAAGAGAUGGGCCUGUGGUCUUACUUUGAAGUAAAUCUCAUAGGAAAAUAUCUCUUCUAGACAAAAACCUUUGUUCAAUAUUUUUAAUAUUAAUUGCAAAUGCUUGUCUAUGUUAAGUUAAGAAAUAUUUUCUUUUUUCAAAUAUGCCUUUUCCUAAACGGUGGGGUAGUACAGUGGAUAGAAGACCAGAAAGUUCCUUUUUCUAUUAAAGGCAGUGAUUGGGUGGGCUUUGACAAUCUGAGGAGCUUUGAAAUUAAGAUAAAAUACUUACAGGAACAUGGCUUUGGGGGUGCUUUUGUAUGGGCUCUAGACCUGGAUGAUUUUUCUGGAUAUUUCUGUGGACAAGGCAACUACCCUUUAGUCAACCACCUGAAGAAAUGGUUAAUGCUUGGAGCAGAAGAUGAAUUGAAUGGUUCCAUGACUACAAACUCCUAUGCAACAGUUGGAAAGGGCUUUUCACCACUUCCAACAUGUGUGAACAUUCUCAAUUCUCUUCCUGCAUUGAAAAGUCCGUUCUGUGCAAACAGAUCAGAUGGACUUUAUCACAGAAUGGAUUCCCUUAACUCAUUUUAUAGCUGUACUGGAGGAAUGACAAAUAUCACCUGGUGCACCCCUGCCAUUUUAAAUAAUUCUGCUGCAGCACGACCAUCCCAGACAAUCACUUUUAUUACAUUAGGGAGUGCAAGUUUUCUAACUCAGUGGCAUAGCCUAUUUUAGGGGUAACUUGUUGAAUGAAUGUAUAAACAUCUAAAAUGCAGGAUACCUUGGUUUUAGCCUACACAUGGUUGCAUGUGGAGCACUUGUGAAUAGUUGUGGUUGUUAAUGUUAAGUCAUUUCUUAUUCCUCUGCUUUAAAAUUAACUUUUUAGCCAUUUUUGUCAAUAGCCAAGCAACUAAUGUAGUAUAAAUAAGCAGGUAACUAACUUUUGUUGGAUGUUAAAACGGUCUAAAACGAUGCCUCUGCGCAUGUAAUGUGAAACACAAGAUACAGUUUUGCAUGCAUUUACUGGAAUAUAUGAAGAUUGUUUUAUUUUUCUUUGUAUUUUUGUCAUAAUUAUUAAUAAUUGUAUUGUUUGUGUAGUUAAAAGUAAUAGCUACAUUAAAAAGUAAGAGAGCAACAUUGUGUAUUUUACAUUUCUGGCUAUUGUUGCUGUAGCUACAGUGUGACUGAGAAUCAGUUACACAUACAUACAAAAUGUUGUAUUUGUAUUCUUUUCAUUAGGAUAUUUUAUCCCACAGUGACUACUCAGAGACUACUUUUUAUUUCUUCAUUUUAAUUGCUAAACUCUAAUAAUAAUU
Molecule: long non-coding RNA, 1812 nt
Organism: Cyprinus carpio (common carp)
Lineage: Eukaryota; Metazoa; Chordata; Actinopteri; Cypriniformes; Cyprinidae
Exons: 4
Source: RefSeq, a predicted model, not a curated record